GACGAACGCUGGCGGCGUGCUUAACACAUGCGAGUCGAACGAUGAAGCCUAGCUUGCUAGGUGGAUUAGUGGCGAACGGGUGAGUAAUACGUGAGUAACCUACCUUUAACUCUGGGAUAAGCCUGGGAAACUGGGUCUAAUACCGGAUACGACCAAUCUCCGCAUGGGGUGUUGGUGGAAAGCGUUAUGUAGUGGUUAUAGAUGGGCUCACGGCCUAUCAGCUUGUUGGUGAGGUAACGGCUCACCAAGGCGACGACGGGUAGCCGGCCUGAGAGGGUGACCGGCCACACUGGGACUGAGACACGGCCCAGACUCCUACGGGAGGCAGCAGUGGGGAAUAUUGCACAAUGGGCGCAAGCCUGAUGCAGCGACGCCGCGUGAGGGAUGACGGCCUUCGGGUUGUAAACCUCUGUUAGCAGGGAAGAAGAGAGAUUGACGGUACCUGCAGAGAAAGCGCCGGCUAA
This 464-nucleotide ribosomal RNA is filed under the name Rothia mucilaginosa. RNAcentral's name for it is "bacterial SSU rRNA". It matches the Rfam family "Bacterial small subunit ribosomal RNA", at positions 28 to 500 of the family's 1533-position model. Lineage: Bacteria; Bacillati; Actinomycetota; Actinomycetes; Micrococcales; Micrococcaceae. The record is from RNAcentral.